CCUACGGGAGGCAGCAGUGAGGAAUAUUGGUCAAUGGACGAGAGUCUGAACCAGCCAAGUAGCGUGAAGGAUGACUGCCCUAUGGGUUGUAAACUUCUUUUAUAAAGGAAUAAAACGAGGCACGUGUGCCUUUUUGCGUGUACUUUAUGAAUAAGGAUCGGCUAACUCCGUGCCAGCAGCCGCGGUAAUACGGAGGAUCCGAGCGUUAUCCGGAUUUAUUGGGUUUAAAGGGUGCGUAGAUGGGUUGUCAAGUCAGGUGUGAAAGUUCGCGGCUCAACCGUAAAAUUGCAAUUGAUACUGGCAGUCUUGAGUACGGUUGGGGUAAGCGGAAGGCGUGGUGUAGCGGUGAAAUGCUUAGAUAUCACGAAGAACCCCGAUUGCGAAGGCAGCUUACUAACCUGUGACUGACAUUGAUGCACGAAAGUGUGGGUAUCAAACAGGAUUAGAUACCCUUGUAGUC
This 460-nucleotide ribosomal RNA is filed under the name uncultured bacterium. Its description in RNAcentral is "partial 16S ribosomal RNA". It matches the Rfam family "Bacterial small subunit ribosomal RNA", at positions 338 to 795 of the family's 1533-position model. The record is from RNAcentral.